This 528-nucleotide ribosomal RNA is filed under the name uncultured bacterium. RNAcentral describes it as "partial 16S ribosomal RNA". It matches the Rfam family "Bacterial small subunit ribosomal RNA", at positions 355 to 873 of the family's 1533-position model. The record is from RNAcentral.
UGGGGAAUAUUGCACAAUGGGCGCAAGCCUGAUGCAGCCAUGCCGCGUGUGUGAAGAAGGCCUUCGGGUUGUAAAGCACUUUCAGCGAGGAGGAAGGUGGUGAGCUUAAUACGCUCAUCAAUUGACGUUACUCGCAGAAGAAGCACCGGCUAACUCCGUGCCAGCAGCCGCGGUAAUACGGAGGGUGCAAGCGUUAAUCGGAAUUACUGGGCGUAAAGCGCACGCAGGCGGUUUGUUAAGUCAGAUGUGAAAUCCCCGGGCUCAACCUGGGAACUGCAUUUGAAACUGGCAAGCUAGAGUCUCGUAGAGGGGGGUAGAAUUCCAGGUGUAGCGGUGAAAUGCGUAGAGAUCUGGAGGAAUACCGGUGGCGAAGGCGGCCCCCCUGGACGAAGACUGACGCUCAGGUGCGAAAGCGUGGGGCAGCAAACAGGAUUAGAUACCCUGGUAGUCCACGCUGUAAACGAUGUCGAUUUGGAGGUUGUGCCCUUGAGGCGUGGNUUCCGGAGCUAACGCGUUAAAUCGACCGCC